UGUUCGUUUGCAGACUAGAAAAAUGGCGAACAGCCAUCAAAAUACUGAUUCAAAGUACACAUCUUUCACUGGACACACAAAUGGGUGCGCGCAGCAAAAUUCAGCCCUAAUGGCGAAUGUGUGCGAACGUUCACCGGGGGAAGAGGUAUGGGACGGUAAUCUGGUGGCUUUAGCACAGUGGUCGGCAAAAGCUAAAUUGUGUUUGUGUUGGUAAGCACAAGAGAACUGCUUCGCAUGAGCAACCCAGUAGGAAAUUACGAGAAGUGAAACAAAAUUUUUAACUUAUCGGUCUUCAAUAAAAACACAUAAAUACGUAUAUUUAACACAUACCUAUGUACAUAUAUGUGCAUCGCUCAUUUACUAUAAAAGUAUCAUAAUCCCAAUAAAGCAAAAAUCGGGUUAAGUAUGCAAGAAUGUACAUUAGCUCUUUCUUAUGAUGUGUAAAAAUUUAUAUAUAUAAAUUCAAAACUUUAAAACUGGU
This is a long non-coding RNA of Rhagoletis pomonella (apple maggot), 481 nucleotides long. RefSeq lists it as uncharacterized. The transcript is spliced from 2 exons. The record is from RefSeq and is a predicted model, not a curated record. NCBI's taxonomy places the organism in Eukaryota, Metazoa, Arthropoda, Insecta, Diptera, Tephritidae.